AGAACGAACGCUGGCGGCAUGCCUAACACAUGCAAGUCGAACGUGAUCCAUGACUUCGGUUGUGGCGAAAGUGGCAAACGGGUGAGUAACGCGUGGGAAUCUGCCCAGAGGUAGGGAAUAAACCGCGGGAAACUGCGGCUAAUACCCUAUGUGCCCUACGGGGCAAAGAUUUAUCGCCUUUGGAGGAGCCCGCGUCGGAUUAGGUAGUUGGUAGGGUAACGGCCUACCAAGCCUACGAUCCGUAGCUGGUCUGAGAGGAUGAUCAGCCACACUGGGACUGAGAUACGGCCCAGACUCCUACGGGAGGCAGCAGUGGGGAAUAUUGGACAAUGGGGGCAACCCUGAUCCAGCAAUGCCGCGUGAGUGAUGAAGGCCUUCGGGUUGUAAAGCUCUUUCGGCGGGGAAGAUGAUGACGGUACCGCAGAAGAAGCCCCGGCUAACUUCGUGCCAGCAGCCGC
Molecule: ribosomal RNA, 458 nt
Filed under: uncultured bacterium
Lineage: Bacteria
Description: SSU rRNA
Rfam family: Bacterial small subunit ribosomal RNA
Source: RNAcentral